RNAcentral lists this small RNA (127 nucleotides) under Marmota monax (woodchuck). Lineage: Eukaryota; Metazoa; Chordata; Mammalia; Rodentia; Sciuridae. The record is from RNAcentral.
GCCAGGUGCAGUGGUCCACGCCUGUAAUCCGAGUAGCUCAGGAGGCUGAGGUAGGAGGAUUGCCAGUUCAAAGCCAGCCUCACCAAAAAAGCGAGGCCCUAAGCAACUCAGUGAGACCCUGUCUCUA